CCUACGGGGUGCAGCAGUGGGGAACAUUGCACAAUGGGCGCAAGCCUGAUGCAGCCAUGCCGCGUGUAUGAAGAAGGCCUUCGGGUUGUAAAGUACUUUCAGCGAGGAGGAAGGCAUUAAGGUUAAUAACCUUGGUGAUUGACGUUACUCGCAGAAGAAGCACCGGCUAACUCCGUGCCAGCAGCCGCGGUAAUACGGAGGGUGCAAGCGUUAAUCGGAAUUACUGGGCGUAAAGCGCACGCAGGCGGUCUGUUAAGUCAGAUGUGAAAUCCCCGGGCUCAACCUGGGAACUGCAUUUGAAACUGGCAGGCUUGAGUCUUGUAGAGGGGGGUAGAAUUCCAGGUGUAGCGGUGAAAUGCGUAGAGAUCUGGAGGGAUACCGGUGGCGAAGGCGGCCCCCUGGACAAAGACUGACGCUCAGGUGCGAAAGCGUGGGGAGCAAACAGGAUUAGAUACCCGAGUAGUC
This 465-nucleotide ribosomal RNA is filed under the name uncultured bacterium. RNAcentral describes it as "bacterial SSU rRNA". It matches the Rfam family "Bacterial small subunit ribosomal RNA", at positions 338 to 795 of the family's 1533-position model. The record is from RNAcentral.